CCCUUAGAUGUCCUGGGCCGCACGCGUGCUACACUGAUGCAUACAGCGAGUACUUUCCAGCUCCGCGAGGCAGCUGGUAAUCAGCAAUAUGCAUCGUGCUGGGGAUAGAUCUUUGGAAUUAUAGAUCUUGAACGAGGAAUUCCUAGUAAGCGCAAGUCAUUAGCUUGCGCUGAUUAAGUCCCCGCCCUUUGUACACACCGCCCGUCGCUCCUACCGAUUUCGAGUGAUUCGGUGAACCUUUUGGACAGCGUCUGUCCUCGUGUCAGAUGCUGAAAGUCAAGUAAACCAUAUCACUUAGAGGAAGGAGAAGUCGUAACA
This 318-nucleotide ribosomal RNA is filed under the name uncultured eukaryote. Its description in RNAcentral is "partial 18S ribosomal RNA". It matches the Rfam family "Eukaryotic small subunit ribosomal RNA", at positions 1470 to 1796 of the family's 1831-position model. The record is from RNAcentral.